GAUGAACGCUGGCGGCGUGCCUAAUACAUGCAAGUCGAGCGAACAGAUAAGGAGCUUGCUCCUUUGAAGUUAGCGGCGGACGGGUGAGUAACACGUGGGUAACCUACCUAUAAGACUGGGAUAACUUCGGGAAACCGGAGCUAAUACCGGAUAACAUUUAGAACCGCACGGUUCUAAAGUGAAAGAUGGUUUUGCUAUCACGUAUAGAUGGACCCGCGCCGUAUUAGCUAGUUGGUAAGGUAACGGCUUACCAAGGCGACGAUACGUAGCCGACCUGAGAGGGUGAUCGGCCACACUGGAACUGAGACACGGUCCAGACUCCUACGGGAGGCAGCAGUAGGGAAUCUUCCGCAAUGGGCGAAAGCCUGACGGAGCAACGCCGCGUGAGUGAUGAAGGGUUUCGGCUCGUAAAGCUCUGUUAUUAGGGAAGAACAAAUGUGUAAGUAACUGUGCACAUCUUGACGGUACCUAAUCAGAAAGCCACGGCUAACUACGUG
Molecule: ribosomal RNA, 497 nt
Filed under: uncultured bacterium
Lineage: Bacteria
Description: partial 16S ribosomal RNA
Rfam family: Bacterial small subunit ribosomal RNA
Source: RNAcentral